GACGAACGCUGGCGGCGUGCCUAAUACAUGCAAGUUGAGCGCUGAAGGUUGGUACUUGUACCAACUGGAUGAGCAGCGAACGGGUGAGUAACGCGUGGGGAAUCUGCCUUUGAGCGGGGGACAACAUUUGGAAACGAAUGCUAAUACCGCAUAAAAACUUUAAACACAAGUUUUAAGUUUGAAAGAUGCAAUUGCAUCACUCAAAGAUGAUCCCGCGUUGUAUUAGCUAGUUGGUGAGGUAAAGGCUCACCAAGGCGAUGAUACAUAGCCGACCUGAGAGGGUGAUCGGCCACAGUGGGACUGAGACACGGCCCAAACUCCUACGGGAGGCAGCAGUAGGGAAUCUUCGGCAAUGGACGAAAGUCUGACCGAGCAACGCCGCGUGAGUGAAGAAGGGUUUCGGAUCGUAAAAAUCUGUUGGUAGAGAAGAACGUUGGUGAGAGUGGAAAGCUCAUCAAGUGACGGUAACUACCCAGAAAGGGACGGCUAACUACGUG
Molecule: ribosomal RNA, 497 nt
Filed under: uncultured bacterium
Lineage: Bacteria
Description: partial 16S ribosomal RNA
Rfam family: Bacterial small subunit ribosomal RNA
Source: RNAcentral